Molecule: ribosomal RNA, 274 nt
Filed under: uncultured bacterium
Lineage: Bacteria
Description: partial 16S ribosomal RNA
Rfam family: Bacterial small subunit ribosomal RNA
Source: RNAcentral
AUACGGAGGGUGCAAGCGUUAUUCGGAAUCACUGGGCGUAAAGGAUGCGUAGGCGGGUUGGCAAGUCAGAUGUGAAAUCCUACAGCUUAACUGUAGAACUGCAUUUGAAACUGCUAACCUAGAGUAUGGGAGGGGGAGAUGGAAUUAGUGGUGUAGGGGUAAAAUCCGUAGAUAUCACUAGGAAUACCGAAAGCGAAGGCGAUCUCCUGGAACAUAACUGACGCUAAGGCGUGAAAGCGUGGGGAGCAAACAGGAUUAGAAACCCUAGUAGUCC